UCUACAGGCUUAACACAUGCAAGUCGAGGGGCAGCAUGGUCUUAGCUUGCUAAGGCCGAUGGCGACCGGCGCACGGGUGAGUAACACGUAUCCAACCUGCCGUCUACUCUUGGACAGCCUUCUGAAAGGAAGAUUAAUACAAGAUGGCAUCAUGAGUCCGCAUGUUCACAUGAUUAAAGGUAUUCCGGUAGACGAUGGGGAUGCGUUCCAUUAGAUAGUAGGCGGGGUAACGGCCCACCUAGUCUUCGAUGGAUAGGGGUUCUGAGAGGAAGGUCCCCCACAUUGGAACUGAGACACGGUCCAAACUCCUACGGGAGGCAGCAGUGAGGAAUAUUGGUCAAUGGGCGAGAGCCUGAACCAGCCAAGUAGCGUGAAGGAUGACUGCCCUAUGGGUUGUAAACUUCUUUUAUAAAGGAAUAAAGUCGGGUAUGGAUACCCGUUUGCAUGUACUUUAUGAAUAAGGAUCGGCUAACUCCGUGCCAGCAGCCGCGGUAAUACGGAGGAUCCGAGCGUUAUCCGGAUUUAUUGGGUUUAAAGGGAGCGUAGAUGGAUGUUUAAGUCAGUUGUGAAAGUUUGCGGCUCAACCGUAAAAUUGCAGUUGAUACUGGAUAUCUUGAGUGCAGUUGAGGCAGGCGGAAUUCGUGGUGUAGCGGUGAAAUGCUUAGAUAUCACGAAGAACUCCGAUUGCGAAGGCAGCCUGCUAAGCUGCAACUGACAUUGAGGCUCGAAAGUGUGGGUAUCAAACAGGAUUAGAUACCCUGGUAGUCCACACGGUAAACGAUGAAUACUCGCUGUUUGCGAUAUACUGCAAGCGGCCAAGCGAAAGCGUUAAGUAUUCCACCUGGGGGGUACGCCGGCAACGGUGAAACUCAAAGGAAUUGACGGGGGCCCGCACAAGCGGAGGAACAUGUGGUUUAAUUCGAUGAUACGCGAGGAACCUUACCCGGGCUUAAAUUGCAGAUGAAUUACGGUGAAAGCCGUAAGCCGCAAGGCAUCUGUGAAGGUGCUGCAUGGUUGUCGUCAGCUCGUGCCGUGAGGUGUCGGCUUAAGUGCCAUAACGAGCGCAACCCUUGUUGUCAGUUACUAACAGGUUCCGCUGAGGACUCUGACAAGACUGCCAUCGUAAGAUGUGAGGAAGGUGGGGAUGACGUCAAAUCAGCACGGCCCUUACGUCCGGGGCUACACACGUGUUACAAUGGGGGGUACAGAGGGCCGCUACCACGCGAGUGGAUGCCAAUCCCCAAAACCUCUCUCAGUUCGGACUGGAGUCUGCAACCCGACUCCACGAAGCUGGAUUCGCUAGUAAUCGCGCAUCAGCCACGGCGCGGUGAAUACGUUCCCGGGCCUUGUACACACCGCCCGUCAAGCCAUGGGAGCCGGGGGUACCUGAAGUGCGUAACCGCGAGGAGCGCCCUAGGGUAAAACUGGUGACUG
This 1434-nucleotide ribosomal RNA is filed under the name uncultured bacterium. Its description in RNAcentral is "bacterial SSU rRNA". It matches the Rfam family "Bacterial small subunit ribosomal RNA". The record is from RNAcentral.